AUUCUGUGUUCCAGGUCAUGGGAAUUCAAAAUGACACCAGAAUAAACUAGUUCUCAUCCCUUUUAAGAUGAGAACUUCGCUUUUUUGAGUCCACAGUUGUGGUGACAUGACAUGGGGCUCUACUUUUUUCUGGGACACUCUCUUGGAAGGCACAUACCUGCAUGCUUUCAUCGAGUCCAGGCUGUCUGGUGUUAAUUGCUCAGGUGGGCUGUUGGUGCACACGUUAAAAAUGAAGAACUGUUAAGAAUUGAGACAGUAUUCGGAGGAGCCUGAGCUAUCGAGAUGAAACUCAAUGAAGACACUUUACUGAGAGUUUCCUUCGUGUUGAGCUCUUAAUGCAUGUGGUUUUCCUUAACAUCAAUGUUUUGCUAACAAGGAAACUGAAUCUUCCAUAGGCCAAAUACCAUUCAGGAUCCAGCCCCAUGGAAGGUACACCUGGAGGUAUGCAUCUACCAUGACCUUAGUGAUGUGGAGACUCAAGAACACUCCAUCUGGAAGCAUUUGU
Molecule: long non-coding RNA, 505 nt
Organism: Peromyscus leucopus (white-footed mouse)
Lineage: Eukaryota; Metazoa; Chordata; Mammalia; Rodentia; Cricetidae
Exons: 3
Source: RefSeq, a predicted model, not a curated record